Oncorhynchus tshawytscha (Chinook salmon) is the source of this 694-nucleotide long non-coding RNA. The record is from Ensembl. NCBI's taxonomy places the organism in Eukaryota, Metazoa, Chordata, Actinopteri, Salmoniformes, Salmonidae.
AACCCGAUUCGUGUACCGAACCCUGCUAUCCUUGACCUCGCCUACGGCAUGGGUGGACCAGGACGGAGAAACAAACACACAGCCACACUUCAGGAUAGUCAGACAGGGCAGACGGUGAAUCUUCAGAAGAAGAUUGAGGGUCUUUACCUCAGUGUGAAACAGAGGAAACACUACCUCUAUCGUUUGAUAGUUUCUUUUGUCCAUGGCUGUGCCACAGCUGUAUGGUUGCGCCCCGACAGUGACAAGUGGCAAGCAGGACAUCCUGAUUGGAAUAAAAAAGCUGCCACAACCUGUCCGUUCCUCCUCUGAACUGCUCCGGGUGUCUGAGACAUUGGACAGUGGGGCUGGACGAACCUGUAAAGAGUGGCUACUGGCCAGCCACCGUGACUCACCAGACCAUCUUCACAGUGGACCUCUUCAAGUCCUUUGAAGACAUGAAGGUGUUGGCCCCAGGAUUCUCCCGUCAAGCCUUUGUGGGAAUGCUUGAUGGAAGAACUAAGCACUUUGGCAGGAGUGGAAAGAUAUGUGGUGACACAUUCCAGAAGGCAUUCUUUGAGUGGACUUUACGGCACGGCUUGAAAUAGACAAGUUUUGUGUAAGCGAUCUCCUCCAAUGUCAUGCCUGGAUAGGAUGGGAAUCACAAGCAAUAAAGCCUCAAGGUUUGUACUACCUUCUUAUGUGUUGGAUGUUUUGU